UAUAUGUAAAAUAACAAAGCAAGGGUCAAAUAUUAGUCAAAAUCUAAUCACGUAAAAUAAGUGAGGUAAAAGUGAAAUUUAAUGAAGUUUAUGGAUCAAAUUACAUGAGUUUAAUUAAAAACUGGAACAACAGCAGCACACAAAAAUAUUGAUGCAAUUUUAAAAUGAAACAGUAAUAUAAACCAAAGAUAAAUAAAAGCAGUAACUUCCAUUUCUUCCGUUAAAGUAGCUAUGCUAAAUUAACCCGAAUAAAAAGGAGGUACCUACAAAUAAUAGAAAAUACGUUUUUUUUUUUUUUUUCACUUUUCUUUCUUCUCUCUCUCUAUUUUUUUUUAAAUUAAAAAAAUGACUCUUACAUAAACGAAAUGAACGAAACAGGGGUUUAAGUUGAGGCACAAAUCAUACACUACCCAUUUAACACAUGGCCCAAUAUUAAUACACUAUCCAAACUACCACCAAAGCCUAAUGAAAUCAGAGGCAGAGACUUACGAGAGGGAAAAUGAGGGCUGUGUUGAUGGAAAUUGCGGCAAGUAUGAUGGGCGACGGCAUUGUGAGGGAGAUCGACGGUCGCGUCCAUGGUGGUCACGAGUGGAGGAGACAGUUGUGGGUGGGUGCUCUGGGUUAUCGCAAGAGGCCCGAGUUCAGAAAGGCGAUGGAUCAAUUUCUGGUUGCUGUAAUUUCAAAUGAGUUUGUUCAAUUUCUGGUUGCUAUCGCGAGUGAGGAGGCUUUGCUGAUUUAGAGUUGAUUUGUAGAUGACUGGUGGAACAGAAAGUGUCUAACCUUUUCGGAUCUGGUGCACAAGGACGGAUUUGCAGCAACGGUUGCAGCUUGGUGGUUGUUAUGGUAGGACAGUUUGUGUAUAUGGUGUAUACAGAGCUCUGUCGGUUAUUAUAUGGGCUAGAGAUUGAUGGUGUUGAACCGCAGCACAGUGAAAUUCUUCUUCGCUGCCAUGGCAAUUCUGUGACUCAAAUUUUGAGUUGAAGAUGUUUGAACCAAGUUCAGCUUUGAUACCACUUUGAUGUAGAAUUAGUUGAGAUAAAGAAGCAAUAACAUGAAAGAAGUAGAGGAAGGAGGAGAAAAUAGGGAAGAAAGAGGAAGAAGCAGCAGGCGCAAGGGAAGAAGAAUACCAGAGAAAAGGAGAAGAAAACCGUGGGCAACAAGUCCAGUUAAUUUCCAAUCAUCGUAUGUUUUCUCUCACAUCCAAUACACCCCACUUGUAGAUAAAGUUGUGGGCUAGGGUCAGGCCCAAAUACAAACCCAAUUUACUAGUCCAAAAUAAUAAAACCCAAAUAAAAC
This 1296-nucleotide long non-coding RNA is filed under the name Olea europaea subsp. europaea. Lineage: Eukaryota; Viridiplantae; Streptophyta; Magnoliopsida; Lamiales; Oleaceae. The record is from RNAcentral.